RNAcentral lists this ribosomal RNA (496 nucleotides) under uncultured bacterium. Its description in RNAcentral is "partial 16S ribosomal RNA". It matches the Rfam family "Bacterial small subunit ribosomal RNA", at positions 28 to 506 of the family's 1533-position model. The record is from RNAcentral.
GAUGAACGCUGGCGGCGUGCCUAAUACAUGCAAGUCGAGCGAACAGACGAGGAGCUUGCUCCUCUGACGUUAGCGGCGGACGGGUGAGUAACACGUGGAUAACCUACCUAUAAGACUGGGAUAACUUCGGGAAACCGGAGCUAAUACCGGAUAAUAUAUUGAACCGCAUGGUUCAAUAGUGAAAGACGGUUUUGCUGUCACUUAUAGAUGGAUCCGCGCCGCAUUAGCUAGUUGGUAAGGUAACGGCUUACCAAGGCAACGAUGCGUAGCCGACCUGAGAGGGUGAGCGGCCACACUGCAACUGAGACACGGUCCAGACUCCUACGGGAGGCAGCAGUAGGGAAUCUUCCGCAAUGGGCGAAAGCCUGACGGAGCAACGCCGCGUGAGUGAUGAAGGUCUUCGGAUCGUAAAACUCUGUUAUUAGGGAAGAACAAAUGUGUAAGUAACUAUGCACGUCUUGACGGUACCUAAGCAGAAAGCCACGGCUAACUACGU